UCCGAGUUGAUCCCGGCAGUCUCCUAUGAGUCCCCACCAUCACGUGCUGGCAACAUAGAACGAGGGUUGCGCUCGUUGCGGGACUUAACCCAACAUCUCACGACACGAGCUGACGACAGCCAUGCAGCACCUCGCUACGAGCCCGAAGGAGACCCCCCUUCAGGGGCUGUCCCGUAGCGUUCGAGCCUGGGUAAGGUUCUUCGCGUUGCAUCGAAUUAAGCCACAUGCUCCACCGCUUGUGCGGGCCCCCGUCAAUUCAUUUGAGUUUUAACCUUGCGGCCGUACUCCCCAGGCGGUCGACUUAUCGCGUUAACUGCGCCACAAAGUCCGCGAGGGACCCAACGGCUAGUCGACAUCGUUUACGGCGUGGACUAC
Molecule: unclassified non-coding RNA, 375 nt
Filed under: uncultured bacterium
Lineage: Bacteria
Description: contains 16S-23S intergenic spacer region
Source: RNAcentral